CAACGGCAUAGCUGGGUAGCUAUGUAUGGACGGGAUAAGUGCUGAAAGCAUCUAAGCAUGAAGCCCCCCUCGAGAUGAGAUUUCCCAACUUCGGUUAUAAGAUCCCUCAAAGACGAUGAGGUGAAUAGGUUCGAGGUGGAAGCGUAGCGAUACGUGGAGCUGACGAAUACUAAUCGAUCGAAGACUUAAUCAACAU
This 196-nucleotide ribosomal RNA is filed under the name Staphylococcus pseudintermedius. Its description in RNAcentral is "partial 23S ribosomal RNA". It matches the Rfam family "Bacterial large subunit ribosomal RNA", at positions 2730 to 2925 of the family's 2925-position model. Lineage: Bacteria; Bacillati; Bacillota; Bacilli; Caryophanales; Staphylococcaceae. The record is from RNAcentral.